This 697-nucleotide ribosomal RNA is filed under the name uncultured bacterium. RNAcentral's name for it is "bacterial SSU rRNA". It matches the Rfam family "Bacterial small subunit ribosomal RNA", at positions 31 to 718 of the family's 1533-position model. The record is from RNAcentral.
GAACGCUGGCGGCAGGCCUAACACAUGCAAGUCGAGCGGUAACAGGAAUUAGCUUGCUAAUUCGCUGACGAGCGGCGGACGGGUGAGUAAUGCCUGGGAAUAUGCCUUAGUGUGGGGGAUAACUAUUGGAAACGAUAGCUAAUACCGCAUAACGUCUUCGGACCAAAGAGGGGGACCUUCGGGCCUCUCGCGCUAAGAUUAGCCCAGGUGGGAUUAGCUAGUUGGUGAGGUAAAGGCUCACCAAGGCAACGAUCCCUAGCUGGUCUGAGAGGAUGAUCAGCCACACUGGAACUGAGACACGGUCCAGACUCCUACGGGAGGCGGCAGUGGGGAAUAUUGCACAAUGGGGGAAACCCUGAUGCAGCCAUGCCGCGUGUAUGAAGAAGGCCUUCGGGUUGUAAAGUACUUUCAGUCGUGAGGAAGGGUGUGUAGUUAAUAGCUGCAUACCUUGACGUUAGCGACAGAAGAAGCACCGGCUAACUCCGUGCCAGCAGCCGCGGUAAUACGGAGGGUGCGAGCGUUAAUCGGAAUUACUGGGCGUAAAGCGCAUGCAGGCGGUCUGUUAAGCAAGAUGUGAAAGCCCGGGGCUCAACCUCGGAACCGCAUUUUGAACUGGCAGACUAGAGUCUUGUAGAGGGGGGUAGAAUUUCAGGUGUAGCGGUGAAAUGCGUAGAGAUCUGAAGGAUACCGGUGGCGA